This 63-nucleotide transfer RNA is filed under the name Potamiscus motuoensis. Its description in RNAcentral is "tRNA-Cys". Lineage: Eukaryota; Metazoa; Arthropoda; Malacostraca; Decapoda; Potamidae. The record is from RNAcentral.
GGCUUUAUAGUAUAAGAUUACAUUGGAUUGCAAAUUUAAAGAUGUGUGGGUACACUAAGGCUU